AUGUUUGAUAGCUUGCUCAACUCCAAGUUCCACAACAAAUGCAAGCACGCGAUCAAAUGCACCCGGACCCGGCUGGAUCUGGUGCGCAAGAAGAAGCAGGCCAUGGUGAAGUUCCUGAGGAAGGACGUCGCCGACCUCCUCACCAAUAACCUUGAAUCGCACGCCUUCGGACGGAUGGAAGGGCUGAUUGUGGAGAUGAACCAAGCUUCCUGCUAUGACAUGAUCGAGCAGUAUUGCGACUACAUAGGGAAGCAGCUCAACAACCUGCAGAAACAGAGUGAAUGCCCUCAUGAAGCCUUGGAAGCUGUGUCAACUCUGAUUUUCGCUGCUGCUAGAUAUCCUGAUUUACCUGAACUGUGUGAACUCAGACAUGUAUUCACAGAGAAAUAUGGGGCUUCCAUUGAACCUUUUGUUAGCUCUGAGUUUGUUCAGAAGCUUCAGAACAAAUCAUUUACUAAGGAGGAGAAGUUGCAAGUGAUUGAAGAUGUUGCUGAAGAAUUUGUGAUCCCGUUUAAUACCAAGACAUUUGAACAACAGAUAUCUGGUGUACCUCCAACUAAAAAGGAACUUCUAAAGAAGGGUUCAUUCAACGGCGUAGAGGUUGAAGUAUCAGGGCGCAAUGGACACAGGGUAGAUAAGCAUGCUGUGCUUGACAGGAAAUCUAAAUCUAUACCUGAUAAGCGUGAAUGGAAGCAGGAAUUUCAGAUAAAACCAAAAGAUAUUCAUGUUGUUCCUGAUUACAUUGGUCAAGUUGGUGAGAAAAGCAGAAAGAACUAUUCAGAUAAACCUGUUGAGAAGAAACAUUUGGAUAGUGAUGUGCCUUCUGUGGACAUGAAGCGACGGAAUGGUCAUGAAAAGGAGAUCAACAAGGACGAGAAAAAGGGCGGUCAGUCUUGGAGGGAACUGAUGAAUGCAGAGGAGCUGGAUCUUAAUGGCUCAAAGAAGCAGGAGGUUGCCAUGGCAAAAUCUGUUCAAAGAGAAAUGAAGAAAAUAGUUCCUCCAUACACAGACCUAAAGGUAACUGAGGAGAAAGAUGGCACCGAAAAGGCAAAUGGCAAAGGCUACCAUCGGACCCACAUGGCUGGUGGCACUGAUCAUAACUGGGGACAUGCUGACUUGGGGCUUAAAACCCUGGGCCUGGAAAAGCAAGAAACUGAAUCAGCUGGUACCUUGAAUGGCAAUGGCAAAACAGUAAACAAGGUUCCUCCAUAUUCUAAGCCGUACAGAGCGACUAGCGAGAAAUCUGCUGAAGAAGAUAAUAAUGGUUUGUAUAAUCGGGCACGACAUCUGGAAGAGUUUGGACAGCCGGUGCAAGAUAGGCAGCAAAUGCCAGAGAAGCUAGUCAACAUGCGGCCUCCCUAUGUGAAGCCAAACUCUAGCAUGAAGCCCGCGCAUGAAAAUCCAACAGAUCAAGCUGCUAAUGGUUACAAGCUCAACGGCUCGGAAGCAACGGGUCACCGGAGAGACGGUCUGGUCGACGAUGAUGGUGCACCUCGGCCCGUUUCCGUCAGAAGGAAAAGUUCAAGGCCACCAACACACGGUUCUUUGCACGACGAGGCGACCAAUGAUGAAAAGGUGACAAACCAAACCCCUGGUGGCCGAACAAGGCGUCCAAGCAGCAGGAAUGGCUCCCAAGACGACCAUGAGCGACGAAAGCACUCGAGCAGGCGUAACGGGUCGACAAGCGGCAGUGACUACCAGACAGAGGAGGAUGAGACUGACACUGCGAUUGACUUUGGCAACCUCUUGCCCCGAGCGCCUCGGAAGCACCGGAGCAGGAGCGCUCAUCCCCGUGAAGGAGGAGGGCACGACGACGAAGAGAGGAUGAUGGAUAAGCUUCUGAGACACUACAGCAAGAAGGGGAUGGAGAGGGAGGAGCACAAGACGAGGUCGAAGUCCAGGACCCCUCGGCCUCGAGCAGAUCAACCUGCUGAUGGCAACAACAGAGAUGGAGCGCCCAGUCAUCCAGAGAGAACCGCAUCUCUGCCUACAGAAUCAGGUUCACCGGUGGGGAGGACGAAGGCUCCUGCCCCUGUUCGGUCCACCUCGCUGCAGCAGGACACGUCCAGGGGGAACGUGCACCCGAAGAUGCCGGAUUUCGACGAACUGGCUGCACGGAUCAGCGCCAUGAAGAGGGCAUGA
Molecule: ribosomal RNA, 2142 nt
Filed under: Triticum aestivum (bread wheat)
Lineage: Eukaryota; Viridiplantae; Streptophyta; Magnoliopsida; Poales; Poaceae
Description: partial small subunit ribosomal RNA
Source: RNAcentral